RNAcentral lists this ribosomal RNA (500 nucleotides) under uncultured bacterium. RNAcentral's name for it is "partial 16S ribosomal RNA". It matches the Rfam family "Bacterial small subunit ribosomal RNA", at positions 30 to 523 of the family's 1533-position model. The record is from RNAcentral.
AUUGAACGCUGGCGGCAGGCCUAACACAUGCAAGUCGAGCGGUAGAGAGAAGCUUGCUUCUCUUGAGAGCGGCGGACGGGUGAGUAAUGCCUAGGAAUCUGCCUGGUAGUGGGGGAUAACGUUCGGAAACGGACGCUAAUACCGCAUACGUCCUACGGGAGAAAGCAGGGGACCUUCGGGCCUUGCGCUACCAGAUGAGCCUGGGUCGGAUUAGCUAGUUGGUGAGGUAAUGGCUCACCAAGGCGACGAUCCGUAACUGGUCUGAGAGGAUGAUCAGUCACACUGGAACUGAGACACGGUCCAGACUCCUACGGGAGGCAGCAGUGGGGAAUAUUGGACAAUGGGCGAAAGUCUGAUCCAGCCAUGCCGCGUGUGUGAAGAAGGUCUUCGGAUUGUAAAGCACUUUAAGUUGGGAGGAAGGGUUGUAGAUUAAUACUCUGCAAUUUUGACGUUACCGACAGAAUAAGCACCGGCUAACUCUGUGCCAGCCGCCGCCGUAA